Scatophagus argus is the source of this 2814-nucleotide long non-coding RNA. RefSeq lists it as uncharacterized. The transcript has 2 exons. Lineage: Eukaryota; Metazoa; Chordata; Actinopteri; Scatophagidae. The record is from RefSeq and is a predicted model, not a curated record.
UAUCAUGCUGAAUAACUGAGGUCACAGAUCUUCAGCACUCAUACAUACACACAAAUCCUGAAAUAAUUUCUCAUUGCCUAAAGGUUUUUUGCCCAGAUUAUAAUGGUUUUACGCGCCCUGCCCUUCAGAAAACUGACCCACACAAACACACCUGUAAUGUGCGUAAUGUAAUGGUGACAUUCGUGUCAGUGUGACAAUAAUAAAUUAAACGUGGGUAAAAUAUGUCCUGCAGUCAGUGAUCAAAGACAGAAAAUUACCAUUGCAAGGAGAAAAAACAAAUUGUGCUGGAUAUUCAGUGAAGUGUGUGUCACAUGACUUUUCUACAAAUGCAAAAAUCAAAUUAAAUGCUGAGUCAAAAUGGAUUUGGGCUCCGUUAUUACACCUGCAGUUAGUGUUGGAGACCAACCUGAGGACGUCCAGUGACUGGUGGAGAGCACACAGAAGGACGAGAUUCAAAGCUGUUUGUUCGAAAGUCUCGCCAAUCGAUUCGACUUUACAGCAUGUGUUGGUAAGAAAAGCCAUGUCGUCCUGCUGUUUUUUUUCUAAUGCAGAUCUCCUCUGUAAUUACCCAGCUGUAUUUAUAGACUGCUCCUGAAAUAAUUAAGUCACUUCCCACUGUUGAACUUUUAAUACAGUCAUUUGGCCCAUUCAAUUAAGAGCAGAUGAUGUUUCCACUUACGAGAGCAUUAAAGAAAACUGUUCCACAUUCAGGGAAAUGCACUGUUUUGCUUUCUUAGAGAGUUACUGAGAGUUAAGUGUGAAGAUUAGUAUCGCUCUAAUAUCUGUCACAUCAUGUAGUUUAAAUAAAGUUACAGUCAAGUGUUUGUUAGUUUAGCUUAGCAUAAUGAUUGGAAAAUGUCUGAAAAAUUUGCCUACCGUGAUAUGUUAAUUAGUGAGCUUUGGAUGAGCUGGUAGGCAGGUUUUAUUACAUUUGGACGGAGCAAGUCUAGCUGUUCCCAUUUCCAGUCUUUGCGCUAAGCUAACCAACUCCGGACUGCUUCAUAUUUAGCAGACCCAUGUGAAAGUGGUAUUGAUCUUUCUAUCAAGUUCUUGGCAAGAAAGUUGCCAACCACAUUUCUCCAAAUAUGAAACUAUUUCCAUUAAUACUCUGGUGUAAUCUUGUCUUGAUUUUACAAACGGUGCACAUGCCUUGGGGGGAGCUCAAGAGGCUGCAGAGCGGAGGCCACUGUUUCUGCCUUCUGGUCUGCUGCAGGUCACCUUUACUGCCAAGAUAACAGUCAGGAAAGCUGCUUUGCCCUCGCAGUCAUCUACACACAGGUUGACAAGGCCGAAACAGUAUGUCAGCUUUUACAGCCGCCCACUUGAGCAAAAACCCAGCAGCAUGUAAAGGGCAAAGGCCCCACACUCCAACGCAAUCUCCUGCAGACCAAGGUUACGUAAGACCAGGACCGUCCCUGUCGAUACAGUAUGAGGCAGACCUCCAAAAACAUCACCCAUCAUCUCUAAGGAGCAGCCAAGAUUUUGUGUGCAGGCUGCUACUUAAGCAUGAGAGGCGUUGCAGGUUAUUAGUGAGGGCUUUCUGAAUCUGUCGCCAUGUCUUGUCUUUAUCCUGCAGCUUGGGUCUUUUGCAUGAACAUGAACACACACGCAUGCACGCACGCACACAAACAUUAACAUGUGUGACCCGUGCCCAUGCCAAAGGGAUUACUCCCCUCCAGGCCUCUGCCCACACAGCAGGCAGGCAACUGGGGAGUAAUGCCAGGGCCUGCUUACAGAGAUUUAGCCACUGCUUUACACUCUGUGGCUUGUUCAAACAUACGCAUAUGGCCUCCUUUGACGUCCUCAGGACCCAGUGGAUGGACCGCUGAUCUGCAGCAGUGAUAAUAAUGUGUGUGAACUGCGGUUUUGGCUGCAGGGAGACAGCGAGAAAUUGGCUUUGUAGACGUGUUUUAAUGUGGGUAGAUGUCAAAAGGAGCAGUCAGUGUAAUGCAAAUGUGUUAUUUGAUAUAAAUGCCAAGUGUGCGUCGUGUCCUUGCACUGCAGAUCACUAAUGAGUUGAUGUCAAGGGUGUGCAACACUCACACAAUGAACUGUGUGAGUGUUGCACAACAAUUGCUGUUUGACUCACGAGCGCUGCUCAUUUCAGCUUCCAACUUCAUUAUUGCUGCGAUGACUCAUGCAGUUUAUUCACUGGUUUAACACAGUGAUUAAGAUAUCGUACAAGUUUACAUAAUGUUACAUAAUGUUUUUGUAAUUGCGGAGAUAUUUCUUCAAUGUGAAAUUUACUAUGCAGUCUUUUGGAUGCAAUGGCAGUCUGUCCAAGUUAACACUGCACUGUAGAUUCUGAAUGCUGCCGUAUGCAGUGCUUAAGUACAAAAUGAAGCUGCAUAGCUAGUCUGUGUCACAAGAUAGUGAAUAAUUAUCAGAUGCUACUAACACAAAGAGUAUAGAGUUUUAAAUGAUGACUGAAGGACUGAAAGUGCCCCAAAAGACCCAUUAGAUUACUCCAGCAAGCUGAUGCAAGAACUAGUUAUGUUCUGAAAUAAAAGUCCUGUUAAGUUCACUGUUUGUUCUUGCCUUGGCAACAGCAGCUGAUAAUACAGUCUUAUUGCAUUUUCUGUGUAUAAUUUUCCAUGAGCAAAUGGAUUUUGCCCAGAUGUCACUGAAUUGUAGGAAAACUAAUGGAAAUUCAGUAUGCCCUUAUAUCGUAUACUUUAACUUGUGGUCAAAAGGGCUUCCAAGAAAAACUACAGCAUCAGUCAUUGUGGAUGGGAGCAAAGGAGAAAGUCAGCUGAUGUUAUUAUAGAGUGGCAAAGUCCUUGUAUGGAUGCAUGGGCCAAUAAAAUGUCAGAC